UAGGGAAUCUUCCGCAAUGGACGCAAGUCUGACGGAGCAACGCCGCGUGAGUGAAGAAGGAUUUCGGUUCGUAAAACUCUGUUGUUAGAGAAGAACAGCGCAUAGAGUAACUGUUAUGCGUGUGACGGUAUCUAACCAGAAAGCCACGGCUAACUACGUGCCAGCAGCCGCGGUAAUACGUAGGUGGCAAGCGUUGUCCGGAUUUAUUGGGCGUAAAGCGAGCGCAGGCGGUUAGAUAAGUCUGAAGUUAAAGGCAGUGGCUCAACCAUUGUAGGCUUUGGAAACUGUUUAACUUGAGUGCAGAAGGGGAGAGUGGAAUUCCAUGUGUAGCGGUGAAAUGCGUAGAUAUAUGGAGGAACACCAGUGGCGAAGGCGACUCUCUGGUCUGUAACUGACGCUGAGGCUCGAAAGCGUGGGUAGCAAACAGG
Molecule: ribosomal RNA, 428 nt
Filed under: Bacteroidota bacterium
Lineage: Bacteria; Pseudomonadati; Bacteroidota
Description: Bacteroidetes bacterium partial 16S ribosomal RNA
Rfam family: Bacterial small subunit ribosomal RNA
Source: RNAcentral